GUUCCGUUAGCUCAGUUGGUUUAGAGCACCACCUUGACAGGGUGGGGGUCAUUGGUUCGAAUCCCAUAUAGAAAA
This 75-nucleotide transfer RNA is filed under the name Flavobacteriaceae bacterium. Its description in RNAcentral is "tRNA-Val". It matches the Rfam family "tRNA". From Rfam's summary of the family: Transfer RNA (tRNA) molecules are approximately 80 nucleotides in length. Their secondary structure includes four short double-helical elements and three loops (D, anti-codon, and T loops). The record is from RNAcentral. Lineage: Bacteria; Pseudomonadati; Bacteroidota; Flavobacteriia; Flavobacteriales; Flavobacteriaceae.